Daphnia pulex (common water flea) is the source of this 701-nucleotide long non-coding RNA. RefSeq lists it as uncharacterized. Lineage: Eukaryota; Metazoa; Arthropoda; Branchiopoda; Diplostraca; Daphniidae. The transcript has 2 exons. The record is from RefSeq and is a predicted model, not a curated record.
GACCGCGCUAUUGAAACUGAUAUCAAACAUCGACAUGGAAGAAAAGGCUGGAUAACGCAACAUAUGCUUAUUUUCAGUUGUUAUCUUCAUCUUAUCCAAGAUCUUAUCUUAUGUAUGCAUGUUCGCAUCAGUAAUUUAAAGUCGUUUAAAUCCAGCAUUGAAAUUAUCUUUUUUUUUAAUUAUUAUUUUGAAACAUAGCAUAGCGCAAGGUGAACGUUGGAGUGUUCCAUGUAAGAUAGAAUACGUUUGGGAAUUUUUGUGAAUUCUAGUGUAUGGUUUUAUAAUUUUCUAAGUCAAAUAGCAGCACUUAAGAAGAACUUGGUGGUCCUUGAUUCAUGUCAAUUGGUGAGAAGACUGCCAGUAAACAACUCAGGUUCUCUCUCUUGGAUUGGUCACAUGAAAUGAGAAACACUCUUCAGGUUACCACAGCGAUCCUACCCUCACAAAUACUAGGUUAAGUUCUCUUUACUUUUAACCCUUUUACCAAUAUUGCACACGGAGUUCAUCUUUCCCUUUAGUUGAAGAGGAAUCGUAUUUCUCUUUUCCAAAAUCCCUUGGGAUCUCAGUAUGAGCCAAAAUUGUAUUUCACUUUUCAUUGUUUGAACGAUAGAAUAAUUGGGGAGUUGCCUCAUAUCAUCGCGUGAAUGUUACAUAGCGGUUGUAGUUAUACUGAGAUGAAACACUGAUAUUGAAGUCUCAGA